Molecule: ribosomal RNA, 744 nt
Filed under: uncultured bacterium
Lineage: Bacteria
Description: bacterial SSU rRNA
Rfam family: Bacterial small subunit ribosomal RNA
Source: RNAcentral
AGAGUUUGAUCAUGGCUCAGAGCGAACGCUGGCGGCAGGCUUAACACAUGCAAGUCGAGCGGGCGUAGCAAUACGUCAGCGGCAGACGGGUGAGUAACGCGUGGGAACGUACCUUUUGGUUCGGAACAACACAGGGAAACUUGUGCUAAUACCGGAUAAGCCCUUACGGGGAAAGAUUUAUCGCCGAAAGAUCGGCCCGCGUCUGAUUAGCUAGUUGGUGGGGUAACGGCCCACCAAGGCGACGAUCAGUAGCUGGUCUGAGAGGAUGAUCAGCCACAUUGGGACUGAGACACGGCCCAAACUCCUACGGGAGGCAGCAGUGGGGAAUAUUGGACAAUGGGCGCAAGCCUGAUCCAGCCAUGCCGCGUGAGUGAUGAAGGCCCUAGGGUUGUAAAGCUCUUUUGUGCGGGAAGAUAAUGACGGUACCGCAAGAAUAAGCCCCGGCUAACUUCGUGCCAGCAGCCGCGGUAAUACGAAGGGGGCUAGCGUUGCUCGGAAUCACUGGGCGUAAAGGGUGCGUAGGCGGGUCUUUAAGUCAGGGGUGAAAUCCUGGAGCUCAACUCCAGAACUGCCUUUGAUACUGAGGAUCUUGAGUUCGGGAGAGGUGAGUGGAACUGCGAGUGUAGAGGUGAAAUUCGUAGAUAUUCGCAAGAACACCAGUGGCGAAGGCGGCUCACUGGCCCGAUACUGACGCUGAGGCACGAAAGCGUGGGGAGCAAACAGGAUUAGAUACCCUAGUAGUCC